GACGAACCGUGCGAACGUUAUUCGGAAUCACUGGGCUUAAAGGGCGCGUAGGCGGGCGGCCAAGUCAGGGGUGAAAGCCCCCAGCUCAACUGGGGAAGUGCCUUUGAUACUGGUUGUCUCGAGGGAGGUAGGGGCGUGCGGAACUUCCGGUGGAGCGGUGAAAUGCGUAGAUAUCGGAAGGAACGCCGGUGGCGAAAGCGGCGCGCUGGACCUCUUCUGACGCUGAGGCGCGAAAGCUAAGGGGAGCAAACGGGG
Molecule: ribosomal RNA, 255 nt
Filed under: uncultured bacterium
Lineage: Bacteria
Description: partial 16S ribosomal RNA
Rfam family: Bacterial small subunit ribosomal RNA
Source: RNAcentral